AAGAGUCCGGCUCCUAUGCUAUCGAUAGCACCAAACACUUGGUGCUAUCAAGUUUUCUGCCGUCAGAUUAACCCCUUUGAUUAUUUUUAUCCGUUAGAUUAUACUAUUCAAACAACUACCCACUCAACCUUAGGGGGUCCACAUCAUCCUAACCGCACAUUUCUCAAUCUAAGGGCUAAAAAACUAUAGCACCAUGCAAUAACUUGGUGCUAUUGAUAGUAUUCCAGCCUAGUUCUAGUUUUAAUCCUAAUAUUUUUUUCCCCCUCUAAUU
Molecule: long non-coding RNA, 271 nt
Filed under: Ananas comosus (pineapple)
Lineage: Eukaryota; Viridiplantae; Streptophyta; Magnoliopsida; Poales; Bromeliaceae
Description: long non-coding RNA (ACOM_LNC035177)
Source: RNAcentral